GAGAACUCCAAAGUAGCGGCUGAGGCGAUAGUAAUGCCUUGCCUGUCAACCAAUACUAUUGGCAAAAUGCCAGGGGCCAUUCCGACUCAGCUGUGGCUCUGAGCAAGAAUGUGCUGGGAGUGCAAUAUCUGGAGAUAGCGAGAAAAUUCCUGAGAAAGCCAGGACUUAUGCCUGCCCUGCCUGGAAAAUGUAGCAUUUUGACAUAAGGAAGAACUGCCUGGGACAGCCCAGGCUUGAUUCCUCUCUCCUUGGAAGCAGGACAUCACUCAAAACCUUACCAGGUAAGUCACAUGGACCCUGAGGUAGAUAAACCAAGUGGGUUACCCUUCCAGGUCUGUUAGCUGCGGUGUCAAUGGGAUGCAUGCAAUCAAGGUUCCAUCCAUACCUGGCACCUUUUUUUUUCCCGUCCAAUUUUGGAGUUCUGGGAUCAAACCCAGGGCCUCUCAAGCUAGGAAAGUGUUCUACCACUGAGUAACAAACAGCCCCAGCCCCUGCCAGCUUUCUUGAGUCUUGGGAAAUUAGCUCACAUGGAUCUUAGGCUUCUGUUGUUCCUUGCUAUCUAUGUGAAGUAAUAAGCCAGAUCCAUGUAACUUGUUGUGUAUGUGUGUCCUGUCUCAUCAGACUGAGUCACCUUUGUACCCAGUGCACAGUGAGCCUGCUUCACAAAAUUGGCACAGCUUUCUCUGCUUGUACUGAUUGGGAAGGCAAUGGCCUCAGCCUUAAUACGCAGAAUAACCCCAGGUGAUAUCAUGAAGCUUCGCCAGUAUCAACAUCAUUGACCACAAGGACCACAUGUUCAUCCAGAAGAACGUGGCCAAGGUUGACAAGGUAUUGCAGGUUUAACUGCCAGUUUAAAAUGUAAGCUAUCUUCAGAGUUAUCGGCAGGAUGAGUGACUCAGAUGACUCCAUUCUCCAAUUGGCCCAGGCCAGUGACAUCAUCUCAAAGAACUUCUGACUAGAGAGAAUUGUGAAUAUGGAAUAUUUGUCAUGAAUAAAAAGUGAGAAACAGAACAAAUAAACAAAUUUUGGUAUAGUGAACAGAAAGGGUCUGACAGACAGUAGCUCACAGUCAAAAAAGAGGCAGGCACUGAUAUCCACUAGUACCUGGCCUAGGAUAGAGACCUCAGCCUGGGAACACAGGGCUAGCCGUGCAGCUGGAUGACUGAUGAGAAGGAAGCAUGAUAAGUGGGACAUAGGUCAUUUACAUAGACAUACUCCUGCAGAUGUGGGUGAGCUGACUGGGCCAGAAAGAAAGCAAUGUGGAAAUGGGUGCAAGGUGCACCCUUGAUUGCUCAUUUCAAGGGCUGAGAGCUUGGAGAGUGAGCACUCAGAUGGACCUUGAGUUAUGAGAAAGAGGGACUCAAAUGGCCCUUGAAGCAUCUGAGAGGGAACCAACACACACAAUGUGGGUCUUCAAGAAAGGAUACUCACUAUCCAAAAGAAGGACAUGGAGGCAGACCAUGGAAGUUUCAUGCAGCCUAACUGGUGUGUUUGUUUGAUAAAGAGGCAUUGCAGAUCCAAGUGCAUCUGUCUCAAUAGUGCAAAUAGAAAUGAGGCCAAGGUCUCUGGGUCCUCACUGGAGGACAAUGACCCUAUACUUCUGUCAAAAUAAAAGAGGAAAUAAAAGGUGAAUUCAGAUUUUUCUGAGGUUCUUAUAUACUGGAGCCCACACAACAGUAUUUCCAUUUCCCUUAGGAGAAAAAAAUUAAACUGAAGACAGUGACAAGUUUCGGGAUGGAUGUGGUAACUGAUAAAUGAUGCUUAUCUGGUUAUUGACAUUAUCUGCUUAUUGGUGGGGCUCUGUGGGCCAUUCUGUGUGCCAGUGACUGUGACUCCCACCACUGAGAGCAUUAUAGGCAUUGAAAUUUUGGCUGCUUGUGUCACAGGACAUCACCACCCCUUGAGGGGGUAUGCUCCUCACAGCUGAGAUCAAGCCACAACAGUGACACAUAUCCACUCUUACCUGCUCCAAAGCUAUCCAAGCCCCCAUGUGUUAUUCAACAACUGCAGUAUUAAAAGCAGAUCUUUCAGCUGCUUUUAUUUUAAUUUAAUUUUAGCUUUUUGAGAUGGGGUCUUGUUAUGUUGUUCAGGGUAGCCUCAAGUUCCUGGGCUCAAGUGAUCCUCCCACCUCAGUCUCCAAAGUAUCUCAAGGCCUGUGCAUGCACCCAGCUGAUAUCCCCUUUUUGAAUGGCAAACACUUGCUUUCUGCACAGGCUCAACAGAACUCAAUAAUCAAAUGGAAACUGUACAUUCAUGAUGGAGCUUUAUCUGGGCAUGGUGGUGCAUGCCUAUAAUCCCAGCUAUUCAGGAGACUGAGACAGGAGGAUUGCAAGUUCCAGGCCAGACUGGGCAACUUUGCAAGACCCUGCCUCAAAAUAAAAUUUAAAAAGGGCUGGGGAUGUAUCUUAUUAGUAAAGCAUCCCUGGGUUUAAUUCCCAGUCCAUACACACAAAAAAGGAUAGGGCCCAGCCAGGACCCCAAGGGACUAGUGGUCUCCAUAAACAAAUGUUUACCAGGAGGGAUGAAGCAACCUAUAAAGGAUGACCAGUCUCCUCCUGUGGCUACCUGGAGUCCAAGACUCAGAGUCAUGUCUACCAACAAUGUAACAUGGUUUACUCAUGGCUUUGCAAACAUUAAAUAUGGCCACCAUCUGGCCAGUGACUGACCAUUCUUUGACACUGGACAGAGAUAUUCUGCCUAAUGGCAGAACUGUAUGCCAAACUACAUACAGUGAUGAUGACCAUGCAGGCCACCUUUACCACCAAAUCUUGCCAACACCCUAGCCAUCUGAUCAGAAGAAUGGCAACUGAAUGACUGACUACUAAAGGACCCCCAGUGUGCAGACAAAGACUAUGGUAACAGCUUACUACCUAGAAGGGACAAAACAUGUGUCACUCAUGUGGAUGGUGGGACUGCAAUGACAAUGAGAGAAACAGGUUACAUUUUUGGAUAUCCCAUGGGAGUUCACUCUUACCAAAAAUCAUCCUUCACUGUCCAAACAACAUGACAAUGGGCACAGUCUCAUGGAGUGUGAUACAUUAUACCCUGUCAUCCACAGGUCAACAGAGCUUUAAGUGAUGGAAAAUCCAUCACAUAGCAACUGAAGAAUGAACAUCAAGUGGCUUUGUGGUGGAAUGGCAACCUGUAUGACAAGGAGUAUGGAC
This 3164-nucleotide long non-coding RNA is filed under the name Marmota monax (woodchuck). Lineage: Eukaryota; Metazoa; Chordata; Mammalia; Rodentia; Sciuridae. The record is from RNAcentral.